Molecule: transfer RNA, 78 nt
Filed under: TM7 phylum sp. oral taxon 348
Lineage: Bacteria; Candidatus Saccharimonadota
Also listed under: 4 other names
Description: tRNA-Pro
Rfam family: tRNA
About the family: Transfer RNA (tRNA) molecules are approximately 80 nucleotides in length. Their secondary structure includes four short double-helical elements and three loops (D, anti-codon, and T loops).
Source: RNAcentral
CGGGGUGUGGCGCAGUUUGGCUAGCGCGCGCGGUUUGGGACCGUGAGGUCGAAGGUUCGAGUCCUUUCACCCCGACCA